ACCCCACCUUUCCAUCCUGAGCUGCAGAACUCAACAUGUAUAAGUCAGUAUUCGCUAAGAUACCAUCCCAGCAUGGAAAACCAAAGUUCUGUGAAAAACAGGUCUCUGUUUGUGUUGGAAAUGCUGUAAUGUAUGGCACACUGAGAUCUACUACCUGCUUAUAAUGACUGGUGUUUCCUGUUCUGCAAGACUGGGAGGGAAAGAGCAUAUCCAAUGAACAGAAGUAGAUCCUUGGAUUUUGGAUCUUGGUGACCUUGACUCCACAAAUCUACUGAACAAUUACAUUACAGAACAGUUGAUUGCUUCUUUGUUUGUGUGGCAAUAGAUUAUGGAAUAAGGUGAAAGGAACCUUCAGAACCUACCCUGAUAUGAUUUUUUUUUUUCUUUUUGUGAAGAACACCACCACAAAAAUAUGGUAUAACUUAAGAAAAUUGUUUUAGUUUUAUUUCUAUUUCAAAUAAAAUAUUAAAACUA
Pipra filicauda (Wire-tailed manakin) is the source of this 474-nucleotide long non-coding RNA. RefSeq lists it as uncharacterized. NCBI's taxonomy places the organism in Eukaryota, Metazoa, Chordata, Aves, Passeriformes, Pipridae. The transcript is spliced from 2 exons. The record is from RefSeq and is a predicted model, not a curated record.